RNAcentral lists this transfer RNA (76 nucleotides) under Salmonella enterica subsp. enterica serovar Oranienburg. RNAcentral describes it as "tRNA-Thr". It matches the Rfam family "tRNA". From Rfam's summary of the family: Transfer RNA (tRNA) molecules are approximately 80 nucleotides in length. The record is from RNAcentral. RNAcentral also lists the same sequence under 10 other names. Lineage: Bacteria; Pseudomonadati; Pseudomonadota; Gammaproteobacteria; Enterobacterales; Enterobacteriaceae.
GAUGGUGUAGCUCAGUUGGUAGAGCAGUCGCUUUGUAAGCGAAUGGUCAGCGGUUCGAUCCCGUUAAUCGGCACCA